Molecule: ribosomal RNA, 253 nt
Filed under: uncultured bacterium
Lineage: Bacteria
Description: partial 16S ribosomal RNA
Rfam family: Bacterial small subunit ribosomal RNA
Source: RNAcentral
UACGGAGGGUGCGAGCGUUGUCCGGAAUCACUGGGCGUAAAGGGCGCGUAGGCGGCCGUUUGCGUCGGAUGUGAAAGCCCGGGGCUCAACCUCGGAACGGCAUUCGAUACGGGACGGCUGGAGACCGGGAGAGGAGAGUGGAAUAGCCAGUGUAGAGGUGAAAUUCGUAGAUAUUGGCUGGAACACCGGUGGCGAAAGCGGCUCUCUGGCCCGGUUCUGACGCUGAGGCGCGAAAGCGUGGGGAGCAAACAGG